Nomascus leucogenys (northern white-cheeked gibbon) is the source of this 1117-nucleotide long non-coding RNA. RefSeq lists it as uncharacterized. NCBI's taxonomy places the organism in Eukaryota, Metazoa, Chordata, Mammalia, Primates, Hylobatidae. The record is from RefSeq and is a predicted model, not a curated record.
CCUAGAGGUUUCUCUCAUCCGAUCAGACCAUGUAGUCCAGAAACUUCAUUUGCAUUAAACGCAGUAUAUAAAGGAUCCCAAGAGGGGGCGGCUCGCCAUUCCAGGCUCAUCUGCCUUGGCCUGCGUAGCUGCUCUGUGCCGGGCUUAGAGGAGAAGGAGGAGGAGCCACUUGCCGCGCCUGCCAGAGGCUAGAGUCAUCUACUGCGCAUGCUGGAGGUGGAGCCUACGGUGGCUCGCCUGGCUGCUGCGGUUGGUGGCCGCGAGAGAGACUACAGCGCAGCCAGAAUGGUGAAAAGGUGGCAGAAUAGGCUUAUCUGACUUUGCCCGCCGAGUUGCUCUGUGCCAGGAGGAGAAGCCACUUAUUCCAUGCUGGAGGCUGGAGCUGGGAGCACCGCAGUUCACCUUGCUGUGGUUGGUCGUGGCGAUGGAGACUGCAAAGCACCAGAGCGAUGAGAAGGAAGACAGAGGGUUGAGGCUUGCGUUCACCUCCUUCUCAUGAGAGCUGCAGUGUGUCGGUGAAGGGAGGGCCCAGCAUCUGUGCUAUGAACCUAGGAGUGUGCUUCCUGCUUUGAAAAAACAGAAGAAGUGUAGAUUCUUCCCUUUUAUUCACCACUUUGAUAAUGGAUGAUCUGGUGCUCGGCCAUACUCCAGGGUGAACAGAACAACAUAGAGCCAGAGUGAGCUCCAGCAUGUGAGGACAUCUGACAUGCGGGAUCCACUGCGGUUAUAUUGAAUCGGCGAUCAUGAUGUGCUACAAAACAUAAACAUUUGCCCGCUGAGCACCUCCUCAGGGGGCACCUCGUUUUCUUUCAUUGCUCCGGAGGCUUCAGUGGCUCCUGAUUUCUCAGAGGGUGAGAGGUCCUGUCUUGUCAUGUCCCUUUCCUGCCCCAGGCCUGGGAUCCCCCACUGAUCCCACUUCCGUUAGUAGGAGGAGGUAUUUAAGGACCAUACUCUGGAGACUCUCUCAUGUCCCCCAUUCGAAUAAGGAAAUGGUAGCCAUCACCCCACCUGACCCACCCAAUGUAAAACCAGGUUGAGGGGUCCAGGGAUCAAGGAUGGAGCUUCCGUUUUGUUGAGGGGGACCAGCCGGGCCUCACUGGCCAGGGCCAUCCCAACU